This 253-nucleotide ribosomal RNA is filed under the name uncultured bacterium. RNAcentral's name for it is "partial 16S ribosomal RNA". It matches the Rfam family "Bacterial small subunit ribosomal RNA", at positions 524 to 776 of the family's 1533-position model. The record is from RNAcentral.
UACGUAGGGUGCAAGCGUUGUCCGGAAUUAUUGGGCGUAAAGAGCUCGUAGGCGGUCUGUCGCGUCUGCUGUGAAAAUCCAGGGCUCAACCCUGGACCUGCAGUGGGUACGGGCAGACUAGAGUGCGGUAGGGGAGAUCGGAAUUCCUGGUGUAGCGGUGAAAUGCGCAGAUAUCAGGAGGAACACCGGCGGUGUAGACGGCUUGCUAGACCACCCCUGACGCUGAGGCACGAAAGCGUGGGUAGCAAACAGG